Molecule: unclassified non-coding RNA, 215 nt
Filed under: rhizosphere metagenome
Description: partial ribosomal RNA internal transcribed spacer region
Source: RNAcentral
GUAGGUGAACCUGCGGAAGGAUCAUUACAGAGUAUCAUGCCCUUCGGGGUAGAUCUCCACCCUUGAAUAACAUACCUUUGUUGCUUUGGCAGGACGCACUCGUGCCAGGGGCUUCGGCUCUUGAGUGCCUGCCAGAGGACCACAACUCUUGUUUUUAGUGAUGUCUGAGUACUAUAUAAUAGUUAAAACUUUCAACAACGGAUCUCUUGGUUCUG